GAUGAACGCUGGCGGCGUGCCUAAUACAUGCGAGUCGAGCGAACGGACGAGAAGCUUGCUUCUCUGAUGUUAGCGGCGGACGGGUGAGUAACACGUGGAUAACCUACCUAUAAGACUGGGAUAACUUCGGGAAACCGGAGCUAAUACCGGAUGAUAUUUUGAACCGCAUGGUUCAAAAGUUAAAGACGGUCUUGCUGUCACUUAUAGAUGGAUCCGCGCUGCAUUAGCUAGUUGGUAAGGUAACGGCUUACCAAGGCAACGAUGCAUAGCCGACCUGAGAGGGUGAUCGGCCACACUGGAACUGAGACACGGUCCAGACUCCUACGGGAGGCAGCAGUAGGGAAUCUUCCGCAAUGGGCGAAAGCCUGACGGAGCAACGCCGCGUGAGUGAUGAAGGUCUUCGGAUCGUAAAACUCUGUUAUUAGGGAAGAACAAAUGUGUAAGUAACUGUGCACAUCUUGACGGUACCGAAUCAGAAAGCCACGGCUAACUACGUG
This 497-nucleotide ribosomal RNA is filed under the name uncultured bacterium. RNAcentral describes it as "partial 16S ribosomal RNA". It matches the Rfam family "Bacterial small subunit ribosomal RNA", at positions 28 to 507 of the family's 1533-position model. The record is from RNAcentral.